Molecule: transfer RNA, 78 nt
Filed under: Candidatus Helarchaeota archaeon
Lineage: Archaea; Promethearchaeati; Candidatus Helarchaeota
Description: tRNA-Arg
Rfam family: tRNA
About the family: Transfer RNA (tRNA) molecules are approximately 80 nucleotides in length. Their secondary structure includes four short double-helical elements and three loops (D, anti-codon, and T loops).
Source: RNAcentral
GGACCCGUAGGUUAGCCAGGAUAGACCACCAGCCUUCUAAGUUGGACAUCGAGGGUUCGAAUCCCCCCGGGUCCGCCA